Non-coding RNA from Vigna umbellata (rice bean), 1816 nucleotides. Lineage: Eukaryota; Viridiplantae; Streptophyta; Magnoliopsida; Fabales; Fabaceae. The record is from RefSeq and is a predicted model, not a curated record.
UACUGUUUUAUUGUAUUUUUUUUUCUUAUAUUGGAAUCAUGAUUUUAAAAAACAGUUUGUGAUCACAAUUUCGUCAACGGAUUGCAAAUUUACAAUAACUCUGAUUUUCUGACCUCAAUUUGUAGCUAUAGUGGGCCCAUUUAUCUGCAAUUUCCUGCAAUAUCAAGAAAAACUGCAAAGCUGGAAUCGAUUCAAAAUCUUGAUUAGAAUUAAAUAAAUAAGCAAUUCUUCUGUUUGUUUUAUUUUUAGUCUUUCGUCUCUUUGAUGUUAGUUACAAUUGGAGCAACUCUUCCUUUCUAGUAUCACUACCUUUCUUCUCAUCUUCCUCUGCUUACUUAAACACUUGAAGUUGCAUUCCAUAUUAGAUAUUUAGUAUAACGUUUAUGGGUCUUAGGCUCUCCGAGCUAGCUAUCGUGGUGGGGUUCUCCAAAGAUUCGUAUUAAUUGGCAUUAGAGUCUUUCACCGUCCCUCUCAACUGCAAACAAGCAGAGCGGGUCGUGAAGUUGGCACUCACAAUGUAGUGAAGUUGGCACUCACAAUAUAGUGUUUGUCCAGGAUUAAUCAUGGACUAGUGCCAGCUCAUAUAAAAGGGCUGUGGAGUGUGGUGGGAUUUUAGGAACCAAUCCAUAGACUUUAGGAUCCCGUAUUACUGUAGUUAGCUUUCGUGGUGUGGUUUUUCGCCCUCUUGAGAUUCUUAUAUGCAUGAUUUGACUCAAGUCUUUACAGUCAUUACCAAAAACCUCACGAGUUGUUUCGGCUGGCAUCUUAUCAAUUUGUUUUGCCCUUGUGUUUUACUGUUAUUACGUGAUUCCAAAGUCAGAAGUCAUUUGAUUAUUCUGGUUCAUAGUUGGAGGAUGUUUCUCAGUCUUCAAUAGCUAAUUUUUUGCACUAUUAACAAGAAAUACUUGUUUAUAUGAUUUUAAGGUGAUUAUUUUAACCGUUAACGAACUUAUUAUGCAUUAUUAUUCUUUGAUUGGAUGACAAUUGAUUGCUUAUUCUUCUUCCGUCCUUUUCUUUUAGAAUGUAAGAUGAUGACAUUUAAUAGAUCGUUGACUAGCGUAUUUUUUUGUUUCAAAGUAUCUGUGAUACACCUUGCUAUUAUAGUUAGACAAAAUGGCAUAAUUUAAUUUUUCAACAUCCACCUAAUUCCUACAGAUGCUAACUACCAAAGAUCUAAGCUUCGUUGGUUACACUUACAAGAACUUCGAUGCUGUAAAAGAAGGGCUUCGUCAAUCUUUUGGUGAUUCCAUGCAAGAGUAUGCUUCUAAACGGGCAGCUGAAGAAACAAGUUUACAAAUGCUUGCAUCUUCUGGAGAUCCCAUGUUACCAUAACUUUGUGCAAAUUGAAGUCCACCGUGUUGAGAUUUUGUGUACUUGCUUUGGCUUUAAAUAUUGGCCAAGAACAUGUAUUAUGGAACCGUAAUUCCUAUGCCAUUUGCAAGAACAGUGUGUACAGCAAGUAGUUGAACAUCAUUGUCAAAGCUUGUAGGGUAAACACCAUGUGUGUAUUUGAAUUUUCAACUUAGGAACUGAAAGUUGUGCGAUUGAGUGCUCCUGUCCUGGCUGCCCAGGUUGGCUGUGGAAGACUUGCCUUCUCUAGUGGCAGUUGCUGGUUUAAUGUUAGUUAUGGUCAAAUUCCUGAGGAACCAUUAAAGCAUCCUGAAAAUUAUUCGAUGUGAUGUGUACAUUUAUUGGAAGAUAGCAUAAUUAAACUAUUGAAACAAAGACAAUGCAUGGCAUUGGAUCCUGCUAUUGUCUUUAGGUGCUCGGUUGCUUACCCUUUUACCUAAAUCAAUUUUAUGUUGAAAAGUGCACU